AGUGGCGGACGGGUGAGUAAUGUCUGGGAAACUGCCUGAUGGAGGGGGAUAACUACUGGAAACGGUAGCUAAUACCGCAUAACGUCGCAAGACCAAAGAGGGGGACCUUCGGGCCUCUUGCCAUCGGAUGUGCCCAGAUGGGAUUAGCUAGUAGGUGGGGUAACGGCUCACCUAGGCGACGAUCCCUAGCUGGUCUGAGAGGAUGACCAGCCACACUGGAACUGAGACACGGUCCAGACUCCUACGGGAGGCAGCAGUGGGGAAUAUUGCACAAUGGGCGCAAGCCUGAUGCAGCCAUGCCGCGUGUAUGAAGAAGGCCUUCGGGUUGUAAAGUACUUUCAGCGGGGAGGAAGGCGAUAAGGUUAAUAACCUUGUCGAUUGACGUUACCCGCAGAAGAAGCACCGGCUAACUCCGUGCCAGCAGCCGCGGUAAUACGGAGGGUGCAAGCGUUAAUCGGAAUUACUGGGCGUAAAGCGCACGCAGGCGGUCUGUCAAGUCGGAUGUGAAAUCCCCGGGCUCAACCUGGGAACUGCAUUCGAAACUGGCAGGCUAGAGUCUUGUAGAGGGGGGUAGAAUUCCAGGUGUAGCGGUGAAAUGCGUAUAGAUCUGGAGGAAUACCGG
This 622-nucleotide ribosomal RNA is filed under the name Enterobacter cloacae. Its description in RNAcentral is "bacterial SSU rRNA". It matches the Rfam family "Bacterial small subunit ribosomal RNA", at positions 94 to 712 of the family's 1533-position model. Lineage: Bacteria; Pseudomonadati; Pseudomonadota; Gammaproteobacteria; Enterobacterales; Enterobacteriaceae. The record is from RNAcentral.